Sorghum bicolor (sorghum) is the source of this 620-nucleotide long non-coding RNA. RefSeq lists it as uncharacterized. Lineage: Eukaryota; Viridiplantae; Streptophyta; Magnoliopsida; Poales; Poaceae. The record is from RefSeq and is a predicted model, not a curated record. The transcript has 3 exons.
GAAAGAGAUUGUUCAUAAUGGACCCUAUACAAAACAAUGAAGGUCGUACGCCAUUUGCAGACUUGACAAACUCCAUUAAUGGAGCUGUUCAUACAUCAUCAAAUUCACAAGUGCAAGCUGAUGAACGUGUGCAACGUAAAAGGGAAAGAGAAAAGGCAAGACAUGCAAGAACAAAGGGAUGAAAAAAAUAAAAAACGUAGAGAAAAAUAUCAUAAAAAAGGCAGAAACUUCACUAGCUGCUGGGUCCAGAGGUCCACCGUAUUCUAAUUUUCCGUUUUUGAAUUUUGUAUUACCAUUUUUUUCGUUUAUGUGAGACAUAGUAUUGUAUAUCACCUACUUGUAUUAGUCAUUUGUUUGCUUAUUUAGAAUAUAAUUAUGUUGUACCAGAUGGAUUUAAAUCAACCACGGAAAACACCAAUGGCUAUGAAGAUAGUGACCGGCUACAUCGAGACAAUUCAUAUAAACCCGUUUCGAGUGAUAAAGAAAACACAUAUAAUUACUCCGAUAGAUGUGUAGAUCAAAGUGGCAUGCUUGACUUGACUGUUGCAUCACCUGAUCUAAACCCAGGUACAUUAUUUUUUUAUUAAUGUUAUCUAUUUGAGAAGAAAAAAUAGAGUGGC